This 460-nucleotide ribosomal RNA is filed under the name uncultured bacterium. Its description in RNAcentral is "partial 16S ribosomal RNA". It matches the Rfam family "Bacterial small subunit ribosomal RNA", at positions 338 to 795 of the family's 1533-position model. The record is from RNAcentral.
CCUACGGGUGGCAGCAGUGAGGAAUAUUGGUCAAUGGACGAGAGUCUGAACCAGCCAAGCAGCGUGAAGGAUGACUGCCCUAUGGGUUGUAAACUUCUUUUAUAUGGGAAUAAAAUGUUCCACGUGUGGGCUUUUGUAUGUACCAUAUGAAUAAGCAUCGGCUAACUCCGUGCCAGCAGCCGCGGUAAUACGGAGGAUCCGAGCGUUAUCCGGAUUUAUUGGGUUUAAAGGGAGCGUAGGUGGAUUGUUAAGUCAGUUGUGAAAGUUUGCGGCUCAACCGUAACAGUGCAGUUGAAACUGGCAGUCUUGAGUACAGGAGAGGUGGGCGGAAUGCGUGGUGUAGCGGUGAAAUGCUUAGAUAUCACGAAGAACUCCGAUUGCGAAGGCAGCUCACUGGACUGCAACUGACACUGAGGCUCGAAAGUGUGGGUAUCAAACAGGAUUAGAUACCCGAGUAGUC